RNAcentral lists this ribosomal RNA (511 nucleotides) under uncultured bacterium. Its description in RNAcentral is "partial 16S ribosomal RNA". It matches the Rfam family "Bacterial small subunit ribosomal RNA", at positions 28 to 506 of the family's 1533-position model. The record is from RNAcentral.
GAUGAACGCUGGCGGCGUGCCUAAUACAUGCAAGUCGAACGAAACUUCUUUAUCACCGAGUGCUUGCACUCACCGAUAAAGAGUUGAGUGGCGAACGGGUGAGUAACACGUGGGCAACCUGCCCAAAAGAGGGGGAUAACACUUGGAAACAGGUGCUAAUACCGCAUAACCAUAGUUACCGCAUGGUAACUAUGUAAAAGGUGGCUAUACUACCGCUUUUGGAUGGGCCCGCGGCGCAUUAGCUAGUUGGUAGGGUAAAGGCUUACCAAGGCAAUGAUGCGUAGCCGAAUUGAGAGGUUGAUCGGCCACAUUGGGACUGAGACACGGCCCAAACUCCUACGGGAGGCAGCAGUAGGGAAUCUGCCACAAUGGGCGAAAGCCUGAUGGAGCAACGCCGCGUGGGUGAAGAAGGUCUGCGGAUCGUAAAACCCUGUUGUUAGAGAAGAAAGUGCGUGAGAGUAACUGUUCACGUUUCGACGGUAUCUAACCAGAAAGCCACGGCUAACUACGU